Molecule: ribosomal RNA, 1029 nt
Filed under: Triticum aestivum (bread wheat)
Lineage: Eukaryota; Viridiplantae; Streptophyta; Magnoliopsida; Poales; Poaceae
Description: partial small subunit ribosomal RNA
Source: RNAcentral
AUGAUGAGCUUCAAGAACCACCACGAGGGAUUUGCGGGGCAGCAGCUGCUCGCCGCCGCCGCCGCCGCCGCGAGCCAGGCCUCCGGAGGGGCGCCGCUGCCCUGGUGGGUUGGGUCCCAGCUGCUGUACGGCGAGCCGAUGGGCCACGGGAAGGCGCCGCCGGCCGUGCCCAUGUCCAUGUCGCCGCCGGAGGAUGCCUGCCGGGACGGCCAGUUCCAGGUCGUGCCGAGGGCCCAGGCGCUGCUGGACGCCGUGCCGCUGCCGCAGCCGCCGAUGGGGGAGAGGGGCAUCCCUGAAGCUCUGAAGUUCUCCAUGGCUCAUGGUAAAGGAGGGAACAGUUCUGAGCACUCUGCCCCGAUCACUCUGCAGUCACCAUUCACAGAAUAUAAUGACCACUUUGAGCUGGGCCUUGGCCAAUCCGUGAUUUCCUCCAACUACUACUCUGAUCAGCAAUAUGGCCUACUUUCUUCUUAUGGAAUGAGAUCAGCGUCUAGCGGGCGUAUGCUUAUACCACUGAACAUGCCUGCUGAUGCGCCGAUUUAUGUGAAUGCAAAGCAAUAUGAAGGCAUCCUUCGUCGCCGUCGUGCUCGUGCCAAGGCAGAGAAGGAGAAUAGGCUGGUCAAGGCCAGAAAGCCAUAUCUUCACGAGUCACGCCAUCUUCAUGCAAUGCGCCGUGCGAGAGGCUCCGGUGGACGCUUCCUCAACACUAAGAAAGAGACCAAUGGAAAAGACACUGGUGUUGGGAGCAAGGCGAUGGUUGGUAACCCGCUUAUGCGGUCAGCUGCAUCUCUCAGUUCAGAGAUCCAGCACUCUGAGCAGGGAAACCCAAGCAGUGUCUCCAGCCUGUCUGGCUCAGAGGUGACAAGCUUGUAUGAUCACGAAGAUGUGGACCACUACCACAACUUUGAGCACCUCCGGACACACUUCUUCACCCCGCUCCCGAGCAUCAUGGACGGUGAGCAUGGGGCCGGCAACCCCUUCAAGUGGGCAGCAGCCUCCGAUGGCUGCUGCAACCUCCUCAAAGCAUGA